UCGGGAAUUUUGGGCAAUGGGCGAAAGCCUGACCCAGCAACGCCGCGUGAGGGAUGAAGUAUUUCGGUAUGUAAACCUCGAAAGAAUGGGAAGAAUAAAUGACGGUACCAUUUAUAAGCUCCGGCUAACUACGUGCCAGCAGCCGCGGUAAUACGUCGGGAGCAAGCGUUGUUCGGAUUUACUGGGCGUAAAGGGCGCGUAGGCGGCGCGGUAAGUCACUUGUGAAAUCUCUGAGCUUAACUCAGAACGGCCAAGUGAUACUGCUGUGCGAGAUUGCGGAAGAGCCAACCGGAAUUCUUGGUGUAGCGGUGAAAUGCGUAGAUAUCAAGAGGAACACCUGAGGCGAAGGCGGGUUGCUGGGCCGACACUGACGCUGAUGCGCGAAAGCCAGGGGAGCAAACG
RNAcentral lists this ribosomal RNA (402 nucleotides) under uncultured bacterium. RNAcentral's name for it is "bacterial SSU rRNA". It matches the Rfam family "Bacterial small subunit ribosomal RNA", at positions 355 to 774 of the family's 1533-position model. The record is from RNAcentral.